RNAcentral lists this long non-coding RNA (268 nucleotides) under Pan troglodytes (chimpanzee). RNAcentral's name for it is "long non-coding RNA NONPTRT014510". The record is from RNAcentral. Lineage: Eukaryota; Metazoa; Chordata; Mammalia; Primates; Hominidae.
UUUACACUGAGGGCACUGGUAAUACCUGUAAUAGUCUUAUAGUACUUAUAAAGCAGUUUGAUUUGUAAUUUCUAUCUGACUAAGGCCUAGAGAUUUCAAAACUGUUCUUUGCAAUUCCUCUCAUACUGAACCUCUGGUUCAGCAGCUUUUGUUGUUGUUGUUGUUGUUUUCAAGUUUUAUCAUUUUUGUUCCUAUUUGGUUUUGUCGUUUUUAAAUUGGGAAUUGCUUCUAAAACAGAAGACAUGAAAAGAGAAUUAAAAAUACAAUA